UCGAGUUCGGGUCCUCUGGGCCCAACCUCCAACCCCAUGUCUACUACUCUUGUUGCUUUGGCGGGUCGUGGCUUCACGGCCCCGCCGGCUUCGGCUGGCGAGCGCCCGUCAGAGACCAUUUUAAAAACUCUUUUUAAAACAUGCAAGUCUGAAUUACAAAAAAAAUAGCUAA
This 172-nucleotide unclassified non-coding RNA is filed under the name uncultured fungus. Its description in RNAcentral is "sequence contains ITS1, 5.8S rRNA gene". The record is from RNAcentral. Lineage: Eukaryota; Fungi.